AGCCGAGCGGUAGAAGUCCUUCGGGACUUUGAGAGCGGCGUACGGGUGCGUAACACGUGUGCAACCUACCUUUAUCAGGGGAAUAGCCUUUCGAAAGGAAGAUUAAUACCCCAUAAUAUAUUGAAUGGCAUCAUUUAAUAUUGAAAACUCCGGUGGAUAGAGAUGGGCACGCGCAAGAUUAGAUAGUUGGUGAGGUAACGGCUCACCAAGUCAAUGAUCUUUAGGGGUCCUGAGAGGGAGAUCCCCCACACUGGUACUGAGACACGGACCAGACUCCUACGGGAGGCAGCAGUGAGGAAUAUUGGACAAUGGGUGAGAGCCUGAUCCAGCCAUCCCGCGUGAAGGAUGACGGUCCUAUGGAUUGUAAACUUCUUUUGUAUAGGGAUAAACCUACUCUCGUGAGAGUAGCUGAAGGUACUAUACGAAUAAGCACCGGCUAACUCCGUGCCAGCAGCCGCGGUAAUACGGAGGGUGCAAGCGUUAUCCGGAUUUAUUGGGUUUAAAGGGUCCGUAGGCGGACCGAUAAGUCAGUGGUGAAAUCUCAUAGCUUAACUAUGAAACUGCCGUUGAUACUGUCGGUCUUGAGUAAAUUUGAAGUGGCUGGAAUAAGUAGUGUAGCGGUGAAAUGCAUAGAUAUUACUUAGAACACCAAUUGCGAAGGCAGGUCACUAAGAUUUAACUGACGCUGAGGGACGAAAGC
This 700-nucleotide ribosomal RNA is filed under the name bacterium 22-L049642-122-014-F03. RNAcentral's name for it is "bacterial SSU rRNA". It matches the Rfam family "Bacterial small subunit ribosomal RNA", at positions 60 to 760 of the family's 1533-position model. The record is from RNAcentral.